RNAcentral lists this ribosomal RNA (248 nucleotides) under Patescibacteria group bacterium. Its description in RNAcentral is "partial 23S ribosomal RNA". It matches the Rfam family "Bacterial large subunit ribosomal RNA", at positions 1 to 233 of the family's 2925-position model. The record is from RNAcentral.
GACGGGAACUAUAAGGGCGUAUGGUGGAUGCCUUGGCUUCAUGGAGGCGAUGAAGGACGCAGCAUGGCGGCGAUACGCUUCGGGGAGGUGCCUAGCAACCUUUGAUCCGGAGAUGUCCGAAUGGGGAAACCCCACUACAUGAACUGUAGUGACCGUGUUUCGUUAUUGUUCAGGACGAAUUCCUAAUUAUCCUAAUUAACCUAAUUUCUAAAUUUAGAAAUUAGAUCAAUUAGAAAUUAGAAAUUUCG